This 74-nucleotide transfer RNA is filed under the name Ferroglobus placidus DSM 10642. RNAcentral describes it as "tRNA-Pro (CGG) (tRNA-Pro-CGG-1-1)". Lineage: Archaea; Methanobacteriati; Methanobacteriota; Archaeoglobi; Archaeoglobales; Archaeoglobaceae. The record is from RNAcentral. RNAcentral also lists the same sequence under 1 other name.
GGGGCCGUAGGGUAGCCUGGAUAUCCUGCGGCGUUCGGGGCGCCGUGACCCGAGUUCAAAUCUCGGCGGCCCCA